AGCCCUGAAAAUGGAUGGCGCUAGAGCGUCAAGCCUAUACCAGGCCGUCGCCGGACUACGAGCCCCCCGGGUGCAAUGCGGCGACGAGUAGGAGGGCCGCCGCGGUGAGCACUGAAGCCUUGGGCGCGAGCCUGGGUGGAGCCGCCGCGGGUGCAGAUCUUGGUGGUAGUAGCAAAUAUUCAAACGAGAACUUUGAAGGCCGAGAAGGA
Molecule: ribosomal RNA, 209 nt
Filed under: Colletopterum sp.
Lineage: Eukaryota; Metazoa; Mollusca; Bivalvia; Unionida; Unionidae
Description: partial 28S ribosomal RNA
Rfam family: Eukaryotic large subunit ribosomal RNA
Source: RNAcentral